AUGUACGUGCCAGGAUCAGAAAUUCACGUACACGACGAUUACAUAAAUGACUCAUCAUAGCACAAUGCUUCGAAUAACAAUAAAGAUAAGUAAUAAUAUGAAAGACUAGAGUCAUUUACAUAAUAUAACCAAAGUACACAGAACAGAAACGUAGCCAACGUAAAUAAACCCACCACAGGCAGCUGACUGGGGGAGGUCGCUAGCCUAAUCCUCGAACUCGUCGAAGUCCUGGAACUCCUGGAGAUUCGCCUCGACGCCUUCUUCUUUACCUGAGCAUAGAUUGCACCAAAGGCAACCUGGUGUUUUGUGAAAGCAAGGGUGAGUACACAUCAACGUACUCAGCAAAUGUCCCGUUUGGCUGUAGUGGACUAGCUUUAUUUGGGGUUAAGGUCAAGCAGUUGCUUUUAGUUGGUCAGGUUAUUAUUAUUAAUUGAGAGCCAGGUUUUAACAUUAACCCAAGUUAUUAACCCAAAGUACCCUUUCCAAACGGAAAGAAUACCACUUACCAUUACCAUAGUCAUAACCAUCAUCAUCAUCAUCAUCUGUAAACCAACCAUCUCUGAUCAAGUACCUCUAAUCAAAGAGGAUCCCAAGGCCGCUCAUAACCGUGAGCACGGCUGAUAUAUCAGUUUCACUACCCUCUGCAGAGGUCGCACACUUUACCCAUGAGUCAUAAUUCCCUUUCUGCCCGGGGAGAGCUACUCCCCAUUGAUCACUCCCUAGGUGGUCCGGCAGGGUAUCACUACGUAGCUGUUACAAAGAUUCCCUAGAGGUCAUAGCUGCCCGUUAGGUUUCUCCAGUUUGAUAAACACAGUACCCCUCCCCGCAGGAGAGUGACUAACAAAGAGCAAAAUGAAAGAACCUCGGCACUCAGCCUCGGCAGAGCAAGCACUGUGCCUGGACCCCAUUGACGGCACGACGGCUAAGCAACUACACCUCUAGUUCAUCUAAUUAAUCAGCUAAGGGCAUCCCAUUUCACCCUCAUGGUUGCACUGUUAUCCCGGGUUGUCACUCCCCAAACAGGUCCUUACGGAGAGGCACUCAAGAAACAACCUGAGCCCCCCUAAAGUAUCACAGGAACAUCAUCGGUAUAAUAUCAUAGUAUCAUAAGUAUUCACAUCAUGUUCAUUGAUUAAAGUAAAGCAAUAGCAUAAUGCUAACCAUGAUAACCCAAAAGGUAAACAAGGAUAAGGUAAAUAGAAAGCUAGUCAAUCCUUAGGUUUCAAUUAAGUAAUGCGGGACAGUGCAUUAAAAGUGAAUGGGACAUAAUGGGUCAGAGGACACUUGCCUUCACCAAACAGAUGCUCAGGGUCCUCAACUUUGCAGAACUCGAAGAAUAUCACUUGGUCGCCGAAGCUUGACCGUCGAUUCCUUGAAGCUCAGGAACAGAUCGCAAUCUAUUCGCGUCGCACAGCGAAUACCAACAGGCACAAACAAACAGACAUAUGUAUAUGCAUAAGAACAUUACAUCAUUCAAAUAAAAACAUAAUAAAAUAUGCAGAACGAAAUAGAGCGCGUUACUACGGUCGCGCGAGGAAAAAGGAACCCGACAGUCGAAGCUUCGAUCGAGGAGUUAUAACGUUUACGCUACGCAAGUAGUAGCUAGGACAUUUAAUUUGAUAUUGUAAAAAUAUAACUUAUAACCGUUAUGUAGUUUUGAUUAAAUCUACCACACUAAUAGCUAUCAAACAAAUAACUAAUAUAAUUAGCACGAGAGAUUCUAAGCGAAGCGAAUUUACGACGCAUGAAACAAUACGACAGCGUGCAAACGACGCGCGGGCACGCGCGACGUAGCACGUGAACAACGCCUGAGACAGUGCGCGCGACCAGCGCGAACGACGCGUGAACCAGCACGUAAACGACGCGCAACGACUUGCGCGAACAGCACGCGCGCCACAAGAACAUCACGCGCGAACAGCGCAUAGAUGGUGCGACGACGCCCACGCACAGCACAAUGACACGAGAAUCACUACAUUUAUCGGUUUAUAAUAAAGCAUGGCCAGCAAUUAAUUAAUUAAUUAACUAAAGCAUGAGGUACGAUAAAAUAAUAUUUUUAACGUGUACACGAUAUUAUUGUGAAGGUAAAACAAUUAGAAUAGAGUAAAUCGGACGACCAUAAAAGUUAAUGUGUAUUUACUGACCCGUUGAUUUAAUAUUGCGCGCGACAAGCGACAAUGUGCGAAAACGGCACGCGGCAACGCGUGCGAAUAGCACGCGCGACGACACGCACGACAACACGCGAAACAGCGCGACACGCGAAAGGCACGCGAUUCAGCGCGCAGCAACACGCGAGAAUCGCUAUCAGAUAUCGUGUUUAUACUAAAUAAGUAUUAAUUCAAAAACAUUUGUGUAGAUAUAAUCCUAUUAACAUAUGUAAUCAAAGCGCAGCUAAAACUAUAAAAUAGUUUAAGUAAACUACUGCUUUAAUAUCUCGGAUAAAUAAAUAAUCAACUAAUUAAUUAAAACGUGUAUCACAAUGAAAUAAUUUUAGUAACAUAAGUGAUUAUAAGCGAAUGAUUUAAGCUCGUGCUCGGAUAACGCGCGAUACACGCGAACAGCGCGCGGCAAGGUGCGCGACACAAGCAUGGGAACAACAUUACGGCACGCGCGAAUGACAUACGAAAAUCAUUAAUUAAUGUCGUGUUAUACUAUACAAUUAUUAAAAAAAACAUCCAAUUUAAUAUUGAUCCCUCGCAGCCAAUAACUAAUAGAAAAUUGCCACAUGGCCAUGCAUGUGGGGGAGGACGGUUUCCAAAUGCGCAACGCAGGGGUGUUUUCGGGUUGCAUGCGAUGUGCAUGCGGAUGGGGCCCACAAGCUGAUCGUGCGUGGAGAUUGGAGAUUGGAUGUCGCAUGCGGAACAGCUUUGCAUGUUGCAUGCGGGACGGUUUUUUUUCUAGGCAUCGAGCAUGUGUGCAGUGGGGAGGAAAGCGUCGGUCAGGAGUGGCAUCGACGGCACUAGCAGCUCGCCGGGCCAGACGCCUAAACUACGCGCGCGGCAGCAGGCCAGCAUGGACGACACACGGCCUAGAGCGCCUUGGAUCAGGCGAAGCGGCGUGGUCGGGCUACACAGUGGAGGAACGUGGUCACCGGAGGUCCGAGGUCGGCUGCGGCAGGGCUGAGCGCGCGCCACGCGGCCAGGAUGCAGGCCUGCCAGGCUCCAGGGGCUCGGCCGCGGACUCGCCAUGCGAGGGCACUGACCGUCGCGUUCGCCGACCUGCAGGACCCCGGGGCGCGACGCGAGAGAGAGAAUAGCGGAGGGGGCAGUGCUUGCCGGCGCCUUCACUACGCCGCACGGCUUCGACCAGGCAGCGCUGAGCACCGGGCACCGGCUAGGGGCUGCAGGGAGGGUCCGUCGAGGAGGGGAGAGAGGAUGGGGAAGGGAAGAGAGGAGAGAGGACUCACCGGGAAUCGCCAUGUGCAGGGACGACAGCUUCUGCGUGAUUUGGAUCUGGGGAAGGAGACUAGAGGUUAUGUGACGGCUGGGUGGUUGUAUAAAAGGGAACACGAGAGGAGGUUGCCAAACUCGCCAUCAACUGUGUUGCGACCGAGCGAGAGAGGCGAUUGCGAAUACGACGAGGGUAAACACGAGCAACACGACGUUUGCGAGGGAAUACAUUUUAAUUAUCCCGCGAAAAGGACAUGAGAUCUAGAACAGGCUCGACGAGAGGAAGAAAUAUAUGUUAUCGUGUUUUCAAAAUACUAAAUUUAGGCAUUUAAAUAUUAGAAAGGCUGAAAUUCAUAUUUAGUACCCGAAGAAAGUUCUGAAGAUUCCAAAAACUCUCGGGAACAUCCUCGAGAUCUUUAACAUGUUUCAAUAACAUUUUGCACUCAUAAACACUAUGCAUCGGCAUGAAUGCAACACUCAAGCACCUCUGAGGUUUUAUUUUACUAAGCUUACACCUAGAUAUAAAAUAAAAUAAUUCUCCACUUUUAGGAAAAAGAAAAGGAAAGCGAAGAGCUGAGGGAGUAACACCUGAAUUUGGUGGAUAUUUGAAAAGAAAUUUUAUACCCCCAAAUUCAGGGUGUUACAGAUCUAACCCCCUUAACAGAAUCUCGUCCUCGAGAUUCAAGAAGAGGCUAGCAAGAAAAUGAGAUUGGUUUAUUAGUCUUUCAUAGCUUCUUCUAACUCGGCUUUGACUCUGUCAGCUUUAACUUGCGGACUGGUUGCUUUGACCUUCAGGUGCUUGAGAUCGAUUGAUGCAAUUCAUGAAGAUCUCUUGGACCUGUGGGUUGGACCCACGCACGCUUUCGCUGCGCCACUUUGAUCUUGUUGGUUGACGUGGAUCGCAUUGUCUUCAUUGGGGUUAGCGGCUAACCCCCUUAACAGGAGCGUUGAUACACACUUGAUGAAGAUGCUACCGACUCUGAUCUUGACUGAUUUGAAGGAGUUGGAGGAUGCCGACCGGACAGGUGCAAGAGGAAAGGGUAGCGAGAAAAAGGUAAGUAUAGACGGAUUAGAGAGAGUAGGGGGAGAACCUAACUAAUUAACUAUAUGGCACUUACCUGGUAAACUGAGGUCAUUGCGGACCCGGGGCCACAACACACCAACACUCAUCACAAAGAAGCAAAUCAGUCAUAACACAAAGACAAACAGCACAAGCAUACAACAACAAACAUCUCGUUGCUAUACGUAACUUUUAAUUAAAUGGUGGUCUUUCCUUAAAAAGGGAAACUAUUCUAAGGCCAAUAAAAGGCAAGGGGAAUAAUAAGACAUGGAGGGGCAUGAGCAUAAUAAAGGAUGGAGCUAAAGCAAGGAUCAUAGUUACAAGGGAGAAAAUGCAACCAAGGGCAGGGUAGGUAAACACCAUUCUCAAAUCGAGAUGGGAAAGGUGAUGUUUCAAAAGGUAGGCAUAGGAGAAGCAUCAUGGAAAGAUCUAGAUAUUAGGAAGGUAAGGGCGAUAUCAAACAAAAGCUAAGACUUGCAACGCGACAUAGGAAUAGGGAACGAACAAGAGCGGGGAGGGGUAAGACAACACUCUUGAAAUGAAAUGGGGGAGGCGGCUUUAAAAUGCAGGUACAUGACAAGCAUCAAAGUAAUGAUCGAAGGAUGACAAGGGUUAAGGUGAUAACGGACAAACACGUAAUAAAGGAUGUAUUUUAAACAAGACUUGCAAGGUGUCAAAGAAGGGGGAGGAGUCAACGAUGAAAUAUAUGAGGCAUAUCCCCGAAUAGGGAUGGAUAUGAGGAGGCUUCAAAGGGUAGGUUCAAUGUAGGAAGGAAGGCAAGGGAAUAGAUAUCACGAGGGUCUGAAGGUGAUAACAGACAAGGAUGUAGGAGAGGAGGUAAAUAGGCAUAAGACAAAGGAUAUGAGUACCAUAAAGGAUGGAGUUAAGACAUGACCUGCAAGUGGGAAAGAAGAGGGUACGUCCAAGGGCCAAAUAGGUAAAUUGCCACUCUGAAUUUGAGGUGGAAGAGAGGAGGGAUUUUUUUAAGAGUAGGAAUAAAGAUGAGUAUCAAGGCAAGAUCGAUGGAUGACAAGGUGAUGGUGAUAGCAAAUACAACACAACAAAGGGUGAAAUUAAGACAAAACUUGUAAGGCGACGAGGAGUGAAGAGAAAUCAAGGAAGAGAUGAGUAACUCACAAUUCUCAAACUGGGUUGAAAGAAAGGGGAGGCUUUUAAAGGAUAAGUUCAAGGUAAGCAUUCAGAUAGAAGACACCAAUAUUCCAAGGGUCAAAGGCGAUAACAGACAAGGGUAUGAGAGAAAAGAUGAAGGUAUUGAAGAGCCAGUGGUAUGAGUACAACAAAGAAUGGAGUCACGUUCAAGCUUACACGUGGUAAAGAAGAGGAUAUAGCCAAGGGUGAGAUAAGUAAAACACCGCUCCCAAUUUGGGAUAGGCCUCGGCAGAGCAAGCACUGUGCCUGGACCCCAUUGACGGCACGACGGCUAAGCAACUACACCUCUAGUUCAUCUAAUUAAUCAGCUAAGGGCAUCCCAUUUCACCCUCAUGGUUGCACUGUUAUCCCGGGUUGUCACUCCCCAAACAGGUCCUUACGGAGAGGCACUCAAGAAACAACCUGAGCCCCCUAAAGUAUCACAGGAACAUCAUCGGUAUAAUAUCAUAGUAUCAUAAGUAUUCACAUCAUGUUCAUUGAUUAAAGUAAAGCAAUAGCAUAAUGCUAACCAUGAUAACCCAAAAGGUAAACAAGGAUAAGGUAAAUAGAAAGCUAGUCAAUCCUUAGGUUUCAAUUAAGUAAUGCGGGACAGUGCAUUAAAAGUGAAUGGGACAUAAUGGGUCAGAGGACACUUGCCUUCACCAAACAGAUGCUCAGGGUCCUCAACUUUGCAGAACUCGAAGAAUAUCACUUGGUCGCCGAAGCUUGACCGUCGAUUCCUUGAAGCUCAGGAACAGAUCGCAAUCUAUUCGCGUCGCACAGCGAAUACCAACAGGCACAAACAAACAGACAUAUGUAUAUGCAUAAGAACAUUACAUCAUUCAAAUAAAAACAUAAUAAAAUAUGCAGAACGAAAUAGAGCGCGUUACUACGGUCGCGCGAGGAAAAAGGAACCCGACAGUCGAAGCUUCGAUCGAGGAGUUAUAACGUUUACGCUACGCAAGUAGUAGCUAGGACAUUUAAUUUGAUAUUGCGCAUAGAUGGUGCGACGACGCCCACGCACAGCACAAUGACACGAGAAUCACUACAUUUAUCGGUUUAUAAUAAAGCAUGGCCAGCAAUUAAUUAAUUAAUUAACUAAAGCAUGAGGUACGAUAAAAUAAUAUUUUUAACGUGUACACGAUAUUAUUGUGAAGGUAAAACAAUUAGAAUAGAGUAAAUCGGACGACCAUAAAAGUUAAUGUGUAUUUACUGACCCGUUGAUUUAAUAUUGCGCGCGGACAGCGCGCGACAAGCGACAAUGUGCGAAAACGGCACGCGGCAACGCGUGCGAAUAGCACGCGCGACGACACGCACGACAACACGCGAAACAGCGCGACACGCGAAAGGCACGCGAUUCAGCGCGCAGCAACACACGAGAAUCGCUAUCAGAUAUCGUGUUUAUACUAAAUAAGUAUUAAUUCAAAAACAUUUGUGUAGAUAUAAUCCUAUUAACAUAUGUAAUCAAAGCGCAGCUAAAACUAUAAAAUAGUUUAAGUAAACUACUGCUUUAAUAUCUCGGAUAAAUAAAUAAUCAACUAACUAAUUAAAACGUGUAUCACAAUGAAAUAAUUUUAGUAACCACGGCGACGCGCAAACAUCGCAUGAAUGGCACGCGACGACGCAACAAGUGGGAGAUUGACUUUCCGUGUUUGUAUUCAACAAAUAUUAAUUCAACACAUUUGAGUAGGCAUAAUCGCAUUAACAUGAAUUUGUAAAAGAGUGAAUUAAAACUAUAAAUUAGUUUUAAUCGAAUUGCUACCUAUUAUCCGUGAGAUAAACAAAUAAUUGUUAAUUACUUAACUAACAUAUGUGUCAAGACAAAGUAAUAUGAUUAUCACGAACAUGACGUUAUUACGGAGCUAACUCAAAGGAACGAAGUCUAACGCAACUCCUAUUGAAUAAAUCAAACGCCGCAUAACGUAUUGAAUAAUUAACAACUCGCGGCUAAACACGACGCGACAUACGAAUAUUACCAGAUUAUAAUUAAAUGCACAAAACUAUAUUUCUAAGUUGAUUUUAGUUAAUAUAAGUUAUUUGCGUACAACAUUUUAGAUAAAUUGAAUUGUCAAUUAGUUCAUGAUUAUAGCGAAGUGAUUAAUUAAUGUACGCGGAUUGCGCACGCGAUCGACAACAACGGACACGUGAACAGUGCGAAGGCGUGCACGUGCAGGGGGUAGACGGGGGGGGGGUGCUGCUGGCUGGCGACGCGUGACGAAUGACGACGACGUAUAUUUAACUUGCGCACAAGGUCUCUACACGGUUAAUGUAUAAUUAAUUAACCAACCUAGUCGACUUUACGCGAGGAAUAAUAAUAAUGCGCGCAAAACGCGUGAUGCGGAAUCAGUACAAACGACGCGCGGGAUGAACCAUAAUCUAGUUUUAAUUAAAAGGUCAUAAGUGUUGAAUAAACCACUAAUUAAAUAAUUAAAACUUGCAACGUGACAAUAUAAUAAUUCUAAUGUGUGCACGAUAUCGUAGACUUGUGCAUAAAUAAAUGCAGACUUCCAAGUAUAGCAAAUUAUUUAUGCGAACUCAUAAAUCCGGACGUUUAUUACCUAUACAGUCGAGGACAUUUUUGCAAAACGAGCUUCCUUCUUCCUCGGAACAACGGCUCUGGGCUUCCUGCGCAGGGGCGGGGCUGCGGGUCGGACGCGCAGCCACGGCUGGAGAGCCGCCAUGAGCGCACGCAGGAGCCGGGAAGCCGCGGCCAGGGCUGGACAGCAGCGGGGCUGUUGCCGGGGAUGGUCACAAUGCCGCAUCGGGCCACCAGGCUUGGCCGCGCCAUGGCCGGCUGGGCCACGGGACUCGCGCGCGCACAGGAGGCGGCUGGCUUGCUAGAGCAUGGACGGCGACGCGACACACCACGGCGUGGCUGGGCAAGCGCGCUGGGCGGGGGUGCUGGCACGGCUGGGCCAUGCCCGCGACCAAGGAGAAGGGGAGGAGGGGCGAGUGAGCGCAGGAACUCGGACAGCAAAGAUAGAGUACAAACAGAGCGAGCUCCAACGGACGAUGGGGCGCCAAAGCGGCUUCGAAAGGUGGACGAGGGCGCGCAUCUGGCGAUUACUGGGGCGAGGGACGAGACAACGACCGCUGGGGACUUGGGAAAUGAAGGAGAGAAGAGAAGGGGAAGUGUAGAUGCUCGGAUAAGGCAGUGUGGAUGCGUACGUCGGGUUCCUCAGCGUCGUGGACGAGAUCGUGGCGUCGGUUCCGUCUUCCACGCGCGCACGAAGAGCGGGGGUGUGGCGGCGGCUGAGCGUGUGCGACGCGCAACUGGGCGAGCGACGGCGCGAGGCAGCGGCUGCACGCGCUCGGCGAGGCGCUGGGCGAGCGGCUGCGUGCGGGGCCACGGCGGGGUGGGCCAGCUGGGCGUGGCGGCUGCGGGCGCGAGCGGCGGCGCGCAGGGCGCGGGGCUGCGGUGCGCGCGAGGCCGUCGCACGGCUGGGCUGGGGGGAAAUGGGCCGCGCGCUAGGGUUGGGGGCGCGCCUGGGCAGCACGACUAGGCCGCGGAGCGCGGAGUGGGCCGCGGGCGUGAUGGGCUGGGGAGCAGCGCAGUGCGCGCUGGGCUGCGAGCGCGAUGGGCUGCCAAGUCGAGCAGGCCGGGGCGCAGGGGUGGCCAGGGGAGGGCGCUGGGCCGCGCGGCUGGGGGCGCCGAGUGGGCCUUGGGGCAGGCCGGCCAGGGGGGCUGGGAAGGCUUUCCCUUUCCCAUUUAUUCUUCCUUUUCUUAUUCUUUUAUCUAUUUAUAUUCAAAUUUAGAUAUAGUUUUUGAAUCGAAAAUUCAAAUAUACUUCUUGAGUUUGAAUGGAUGCACCACCACAACAAUUCAACAUAUAAUAAAAUAUCUCGGCAUGCUAUGCAAAAAUCAAGGACUCUUUUUAGGGUUCCAUUUUACUACGCUCAACAUAUGUAUAUGUAUAUAUACACACUCACAUACAAAAUAACUCUCCACUAAUCAGGAAAAGAAAAAAGUUAUGUAAGAGAGAGGGUAACACCUGAAUUUGGUGAAUAUUAGAAAAGAAAUUUUAUACCCCCAAAUUCAGGGUGUUACAGAUCUAACCCCCUUAACAGGAAUCUCGCCCCCGAGAUUCAAGAAGAAGCUAGCAAGAAAACGAGGUUGGUUCAUAGGUUGUCCACAGCUUCCUUGAGCUGACUUUGACCCGGCAAGCUUAACUUGCGGACUAGUUGCUUUGACCUUUAGAUGUUCACGACCAACUGAUGCAAUUCUUGAGGAUCCCUUGGACCUGUGGGUUAGGACCCACCACGCUUCCGCUACGCCACUUUGACCAUGUUGGUUGAUGUUGAUCGCAUUGUCUUCAUUGGGGUUAGCAACUAACCCCCUCAACAGGAGCGUUGAUACGCACUUGAUGAAGAUACUGUCGAUUCUGAUCUUGAUGGAUUAAGAGAAGUUGGAGGCUGCCAACUGGACAGGUGCAAAUGGAUAGAAUAUAAAUAGAAUAGGUAAGCAUAGAUGGAUUAAAGAGAGAAAAGGGAGAGCACCCAACUACCUAACUCUAUGACACUCACCUAGUAAACUGAUGUCAUUGCGGACCCACGGCCACAACACAUCAACACUCAUCACAAAGAAGCAAAUCAGUCAUCACACAAAGACAAACAGCACAAGCAUACAACAACAAACAUCUCGUUGCUAUACGCUCCUUAUAAUUAAAUGGUGGUCUUUCUUGAAAAGGGAAUAACUACUCUCUAAGGUUGUUGAAGGACGAGGAGAAGAACAAGACGUGUAGGAUAGGGACACGAGCACAAUAAAGGAUGGAGUUUAAGUAAGGAUUGUAAUCGACAAGGGAGAGAAUGCAACCAAGGGCAGGGUAAGUAAACAUCAUUCUCAAAUUGAGAUGGGAAGGAUGAUAGUUCAAAAGGUAGGCAUAAUAAAAGCAUCAUGCAACCAAUAGGCGAAAGCACACCAAAUGAUCGAGUUAAGACAAGACUUGCAGCACGACGGAGGAAAAGGGAACGAACAAGAGCGGGGAGGGGUAAGACAACACUCUUGAACUGAAUUGGGAGGGGAGGCUUUAAAAUACGGGUACAUGAUAAGCAUCAAGGUACAGAUCGAGGGAUGACAAGGGUUAAGGUGAUAACGGACAAACACACGACAAAGGAUGUAUUUGAAGAAAAUCUGGCAAGGUGUUAGAGAAGGGGGAGCAGUUAAUGAUGAGAUAGAUGAGGCAUUAUCCUCGAACAGUGAUGGAAAAGGGGAGGCUUCAAAGGAUAGGUUCAAGAUAAGCAUGAGGGCAAGGGCAUAGAUAUCACGAGGGUUCUAAAGGUAAUAACGGACAAGGAUGUAGGAUAGGAUGUAAAUAGGCAUAAGACAAAAGUUAUAAGUACCAUAAAAGAUGGAGUUAAGACAGGAUCUACAAAUGGAAAAGGAGAGGGAGCGUCCAAGGGCCAGAUAGGUAAAUUGCCACUCUCAAAUUGAGGUGGAAGAGAGAAGAUUUUUAAAGGGCAGGCAUAAAGAUAAGUAUCAAGGUAAGGUCAAUGAUUGACAACGGUAAUGGUGACAGCAAACUGAAAUAAGUCAAAUGAUGGAAUUAAGACAAAACUUGUACGACGAUGAAGAGGGGAAGCGAUCAAGGUAGAGAUAGGUAACUCACCGCUCUCAAAUCGGAUCGAAAGAAAGGGAGGCUUUUAAAGGAUAAGUUCAAGGUAAGAAUUUAGGUAGAAGACAUAAAUAUCACAAGGGUCAAAGGCGAUAAUAGACAAGGGCAUAAGGGAAAAGACGAAGGCACAGAAGAGCCAGUGGUAUUAGUACAACAAAGAAUGGAGUUACGUCAAGGCUUGCACACGGUAAAGAAGAGGAGAUUGCCAGGGGUGAGAUAAGUAAAGCACCGCUCACAAAUUGAGAUAGAAGAUUGGAGAUUUUAGAUAACAGAUAUGACGUAAUCAACAAGGUGUGGGCGACAAAUGGGAAAGGUAAAUGUGACAACAAACAAAAGCACAACGAAGGAUGGAGUUGCGAGGAAGAGAAAAAGGUGAUAAACAUCAAGGUAAGAUAUAGAGGCGAUAAGGGCAAGGUGAUAACGAUGAAAAGCAUAAUCCAUGGACAGAGUUAAGGCAAGACUCGCAAAGUGAUGAAGUGGAGAAAACAAUCAAGGAAAAGAUAAGUGAGAUUCUGACAUAAGAGUUGAAGUAAAAGUUCAUUAUCGAAGGAAGUUACAAGGAAUUAACGAGAUCACCAAGGAUGUGCAAAAUAAAAAUGACCGCUCAUGGAUUAUUAGGAAACAAGGGUGAUCAAGGACAUGUUAACUGAAAUGUCUUGAAUAGUCAUUGGGGUAUGAAGGUAAGCAUACAUGAAAAUAUGAGAGUACGCAAGAUUCCAAGGGUACGAGCAUACCAAUACUAAGAGAAUAGAAAUUACCGAAAGAUAACGACUUAACAGCGGAAUGGGAAAGGAUCUCAAAAGACAGGAAGGUCAUGGUCAUAUAAACUCAACCGUUUAAAUAAGCAGCAGAGGUACAAGGGUAAGUACUUUGAAUUAAGGGAUAAGGAUAUUAAAAUACAAGGAUACGAGCAUGUCAAUACCAAUGGAAUAGAUAUUGUGAAAUGAUAGCAACUUAACGAUGGAAGAGGAAAGAAUCCCAAAAAACAAGAAGGUUAUGGUCAGGAGGCAUCUACAAAGAUGUCGCAAGCACAAGAGUGAGAUCAGAUCUAAUGGAUUGAGAGAAGUAUAGACCAUAGUGGAAUAAAAUACUUUUGGCAAGGGGCAUAUAGGAGCACAACAUAGAAUUAGUCGAGGUGGCUAAUAUUUUGAAGCAGAAUCAAGGAUGGGGUGAAGUAAUAAUCAAUAAGUCCUUAAAACGGCCAAUGCUACUCUAGGCUAGCGGUCCUACAGUCAGCACGGCUCUGAUACCACUUAUGUCACACCCGGUUUUGGAAGGUAAACCGAAUGCGAACCAUGUACGUGCCAGGAUCAGAAAUUCACGUACACGGCGAUUACAUAAAUGACUCAUCAUAGCACGAUGCUUCGAAUAACAAUAAAGAGUAAGUAAUAAUAUGAAAGACUAGAGUCAUUUACAUAAUAUAAAUCAAAGUGCACAUAAUAGAAAUGUAGCCAACGUAAAUUAACCCACCACAGGCAGCUGACUGGGGGAGGUCGCUAGCCUAAUCCUCGAACUCGUCGAAGUCCUGGAACUCCUGGAGAUCCGCCUCGAUGCCUUCUUCUUUACCUGAGCAUAGAUUGCACCAAAGGCAACCUGGUGUUUUGUGAAAGCAAGGGUGAGUAC
This 12830-nucleotide long non-coding RNA is filed under the name Zea mays. RNAcentral's name for it is "long non-coding RNA (ZMAY_LNC003541)". Lineage: Eukaryota; Viridiplantae; Streptophyta; Magnoliopsida; Poales; Poaceae. The record is from RNAcentral.